UCUCUGCUGCAUCACCUGCAAAUGUGUUAUCGCCCACCACCACAGCAUCAUCAGUGCCAUCGCCCACCACCACAGCAUCAUCAGUGCCAUCGCCCACCACCUCUGACAUGGCUGCAAUAUCUUUCUCCACUGCUGCAUCUGUGUCAUCCCCUCUGUAGCAUCUGCAACACCUGUAAAUUCAGUUGCAACCUUGCCAUCACCCACCUCUGUGCCUUCUCACUUCAGCUUAACAGCAGUUGUGGUAUCAACCACCAACACCACAGCAGUACAGGACAACCUCAACAGCAGUACCUCAGCAACAGGAUUAACAGUUGUUAACCAAUGUUAUUUAGAAAUCUUAUUUGGUCACAUAUGCUGACUGAUAGUGCUUUAAAAUGUUUAUUUUUGACAUCCAUCGUUACAGGUAUCCAAGAGGCUUGGUCAGGAAAAAAUGUCUGUGUUGCUGUCCAGAAUUGGACCAUACAAAAUCUUCUUUGCAGAUAUUAAUAAAACUGAUCCAAAUAAUGAGCUUGAAAGUGAGGUCAUAAAUGCAUAUGUGUCUUCUUGUAAAGAGAUUCAUUGCACAUUCAGAAGUACAAGCAUUCCAAAUUGACACAUUUGAAAUAUCAAAAAUCUGGAAUAGAAAAAGAUCAAAACCAAAGGUUAAUCCCACAAUGUACAAAUAUCUAAUUGGCAUUGUGAAUGACCAUCACCACUGGACAGUUGUGAUUAUUCUGCCGUCGCAAAGGAGGGCUUUGUUCCUUGAUCCCAUGGGAGAAAUUUCUUCCAAUCUAAAAAGGUGUCAGGAUGUAACAAGGGCUUUUUUGCGACAAGGGAUGCCAUGUGUCAAGGUGGUGUUGCCGAACGCUGCCUCACCCAAAGCAAAAAGAUGGCACAUCAUGUGGUGUCUUUGCUUUGAAAUUUGCAGAAUGUGUUCUCAGAGAGGAGCCAAUAGUUUUUCUUAAUACAGCAGAGGGAGUGGAAGAAUUGAGGAAUGCAAUAGCUGUCACUCUUCUACAAAACAGUGAUGACCUGAGCCAGCUGUGCCAUGCCUGUGAAGAAAGUGGAGAUUAUAACUGGAUUGCCUGUGACUCAUGCAACCGUUGGUACCACACAUCAUGCGUCAAGGGGAAAUCAAAUGUGCAUUUUCUGUGUCCUGCCUGUUAAAAUUCUGAUGACAUGAAGAACACAUACCAAGAGGCUUGUGUAAAUGACAUAAGAAAAAGAAAACAAAGAAAUACUUUUUUUUUUUUUUUUGGUUGUUUCUUGUUAAUUUAAUACCCUUGUUUUUUUUUAUGUAAAAUAAACAUAUCUAUUUAUUUAAUAAAUUACAUUGUACAUUGUUCAAACACUGGCUGCUAAUUGUAAAUUAGGAUAUUUAUACAUUUUGUUUCUUCUGAUGUUUAUUUAAUUGGAAUGCUUGGGUAGAAAAGGCCCUCUACAGGGCCAUUGGCUAAAUUUGUUUGUUUGUAUUUCUCUCUCUCUCUCUCUCUCUCUCUCUGUCACUUUCUCUAACUCUUGUGCCAUGCUCACUCUACUUCCUUUACAACCCUAUUCUCUCUCUCUCUCUCUCUCUCUCUCUCUCUCUUCAAUAUAUUUAUCUGUGAAAUUUGUUUAUUUAUUUGUAUAUUGUUAAUAUUUAUGUUAUUUCCUUCAAACACUGAAUGCUAUUGUUAAUAAAAUAAUUCUAUGUAUUGAUAAGUAUUCUGUUUCUCCUGAAAGUGGGAUAAUGUUAAAUGUUUGGGCAUAAAAUAAGUGUUAAGUCAUCCAGUGU
Molecule: long non-coding RNA, 1753 nt
Organism: Xyrauchen texanus (razorback sucker)
Lineage: Eukaryota; Metazoa; Chordata; Actinopteri; Cypriniformes; Catostomidae
Exons: 8
Source: RefSeq, a predicted model, not a curated record